RNAcentral lists this ribosomal RNA (751 nucleotides) under uncultured archaeon. RNAcentral describes it as "bacterial SSU rRNA". It matches the Rfam family "Archaeal small subunit ribosomal RNA", at positions 115 to 873 of the family's 1478-position model. The record is from RNAcentral.
UUAGGUCAUGAAUAACCUCGGGAAACUGAGGAUAAUGCUUGAUAGAAAACAAAUACUGGAAUGUUUUGUUUUUGAAACUCGGGCCUAAGGAUGGGGCUGCGGCUGAUUAGCUAGUUGUUGGUGUAAUCGACUAACAAGGCAAUGAUCAGUAAGGGCUCUUAGCGGAGAAGCCCUGAGAAGGAAUCUGAGACACUAUUCCUAGCCCUACGGGGUGCAGCAGCUGAGGAAGUUUUACAAUGCUCGAAAGAGUGAUAAAAUAAGCCAGAGUGUUUCUUUUAUAGAAACUUUUAUCUACUGUAAAAAAGCAGAUGAAUAAGGACUGGGCAAGACCGGUGCCAGCCGCCGCGGUAAUACCGGCGGUCCAAGUUGCAUCCACAUUUAUUGAGUCUAAAACAUUCGUAGCUUGUUUUAUAAGUUCCUUGUGAAAUCUUAUAUCUUAAAUAUGAGGCGUGCAAGGAAUACUAUAUCACUAGAGACCGGAAGAUGUAAGGAGUAUAAUUAAGGUAGCAGUAAAAUGCGUUAAUCUCAAUUAGACUAACAACGGCGAAGGCACCUUACAAGUACGGAUCUGACAGUGAGGAAUGAAGGCUAGGGGCGCGAAAGGGAUUAGAUACCCCUGUAGUCCUAGCAGUAAACACUGCUCACUAAACGUUAGUACCUCCUCGAGAGGUAUUAGUGCUGUAGGGAAGCCGUAGAGUGAGCUACUUGGGAAGUAUAGACGCAAGGCCGAAACUUAAAGGAAUUGGCGGGG